UUUGCUGGAAAUUUAUUGCACUCAGUUCUCUGACUUGUCUCAGAUUUAGAAGCAUCGAGGUACUUAUUUUGUGAUUCUGUAUUUUGGCCAUGUUUUAAUCAUUUACUAAUAUACAUUAAAUUGAUAGAUUAACGUCAGACUAUGUAUAGCUCAACACUUUCUCUUGAUGAUCCAGAUGUUUGUAAUGUCAGACGACCCCUAAAUUUCCUGUAUUUGGUGAAAUGUUAUGCUUUAAUGUUUUAACAAUAAAAAGAAACCCAACCUGGUGUUGGCCAUAAUUUUUUUUGUUCAAGUCAAGAACAAAACCUUUGUAUUCAGCAUAGUAUCUUUUAAGUAUCUUUGGCAACAAGAGAUGCAAAAGUACCUAGGACGUCUGCUUUGGAAGCUUCAACUUCGCAGUCAUCAGCCUCAGUCAUCACUCAGCAAGUUCCCAAAUAUGUAACGUUAUAAGGACUCAUCCAUGCAGUUGCUACAGACCUGAAUUGGCUCAGUGAUACCCCAUGCUGUUUUAUUUUGGAGGAGAGCUGGUAAUGACCAAAUGAAGAAUUUGGAGAAAAUCAGCUCUGCAGUUGAAAUGAUGUCUCAGCAUGUCAUUAACACAUAUUGGUAGAGCAACCUCACAGAUGGGACAGAAGCUUUUUACGUGAGGACCAUAUGUGCACUAAAGAGAUAAUGUAAUGACCUUUCUGUUGUGGCUUUGGCUUUAGGGGUUACUGCUCUCAGCUGCCUGACUCCUUUUGUCUGUGCUCUGUUCCUUAGCCCCUUUUGCUUGAACUGUUCACCUGUGUGAUUUCUAAAGCAGAAAUUAGUCUCUUAAAAUGUCUUGACUAUCUAUAAAUAUAUAUUUUUUUUCAAAACCAGAAUGAUUUCCAACUGACUACAUUUAUGGUUAAAUGAAACAUCCCACUAUGGUGCAAAUAGGGUGUUAACAUCCAAAAGGGGCAAAAGAAGUCACGUGGGGAUGAAUGGCAGGUAGUAAUUGCUUAUUUCUUAGCAAAAGGGCAUGCAGAUACUAGGGAAAAUUUCUUGACCAAAAGGAGUGUGAGGCCAGACAGGCUGGAGUAGGCAGCUCAGGGAGUCACCCUCCUGGA
This 1091-nucleotide long non-coding RNA is filed under the name Zonotrichia albicollis (white-throated sparrow). Its description in RNAcentral is "lncRNA (ENSZALG00000006878.1)". Lineage: Eukaryota; Metazoa; Chordata; Aves; Passeriformes; Passerellidae. The record is from RNAcentral.